Molecule: unclassified non-coding RNA, 2456 nt
Filed under: Lingula anatina
Lineage: Eukaryota; Metazoa; Brachiopoda; Lingulata; Lingulida; Lingulidae
Description: s1 RNA-binding domain-containing protein 1, transcript variant X2
Source: RNAcentral
GCUGGUUCAUAUACAUGUGUUAACGUUAGCUUACAAGGGGUACAUUUACAUAAAUGGCUUUCCAGAUAUAUAACACUUAUGACAUCAUAUUAUUACUACUGUCAGCGGAAAUCAGAUCGUUUUUCAAAAGUUAGUGCUUGACUGCCACCUAUCGCCAAUGAAGAAAACAUCACUGCCCGCGAGUUGCAGAACUCCUUCAGCAUGGUUUUUACAGUCAACUGGGAUUCGGUUGACCUGAUAGUGGAACAACUGCAUCUGGAAAAAUGGGCAGUCAAGAAUGUAAUUACCAUGUUAGACGAAGACAAUACUAUACCAUUCAUUGCAAGGUAUAGAAAAGAACAGACAAACAACAUGUCUGUUGAUAAAUUGAGAGAGAUUUUGGCUCUUCAUCAAGACUUGAAGACUUUGAUAUCGAAAAUAAACAAUGUGUGCAAAAGCAUAGAAAAGCUUGGGAAAAUGAACCCACAACUGCAAGCUGCUUUCCAAAAUGCACAGAGCGCUGAAGAAGUGGAUCACUUGUAUGCCCCUUACAAGCCUGGCAGCAAAAGAUCACUAGCAGAAAGAGCUAGAGAGUUGGGAUUGGAGCCUCUGGCUAUGAAGGUUUUGCAGUCUCCAAACACUGUGGAUCUGAAUAUGUUUGUCAAAGCUGGACAGGAAGGUUUAUCAUCAGUUUCAGAAGUGGAGGAGGGCACAAAGCAUAUCAUUGCAGAUGUCAUUGCUAAGAAUAAGGAAACCAUGGAUAAAAUGAGAGACCUGUGCCAACAUGCAUAUAUUACGCUGGAAAGCACAAUGUCUAAAAGUCUAACAAAGAAAACAAAAUCCAAGGAGACUACCUCAACUGCUGCUGGAUCAGAAAAGAAUAUUGUCGAGAAGAAAAAUGAAAAGACGUCUAAGCAAGACAAAAAAGCAGAUGCACAAAAAUAUGAACAAUACUUUGAUUUCAAAGUGCCAGUCAAAUAUGCCAAGCCACAUCAGGUUUUAGCAAUGAAUCGAGGCGAGCACCAAAAGAUAUUGAGUGUGAAAGUCAACAUCCCAGAACAAGUAAAGCAAAGUUUCUGCCAAUACUGCCAGAGGAGAUGGAUUCCUCCUCAAGCCAGUGCACACCUCCGGAAACUCAUCUCUGAUGCUAUAGAGGAUGCAUACACAAGACUUAUUUCUCCACUCAUGUGUAGACACUACAGAUCUGAGUUGACCAAGAUGGCAGAAAAGGCUUCUGUUGAAGUAUUUGCCUCAAACCUGAAGAGACUUUUGCUCAUGCCACCUGUGAGAAACAGGGUGGUACUUGGUGUGGACCCAGGAUUUAAGAAUGGCUGUAAAUUGGCUGUUAUAUCCCAGACAGGUCAGAUUCUUGAAACUGGUGUUAGCUAUCUACAUGUAGGACGAGCUGCUGAAAAAGAGAGAGAGAAAAUAAAGGAGAUAUGCUUAAAGUACAGAUGUGAAACUGUAGCCAUAGGUAAUGGAACCGCUUGUAGGGAGACUGAAGCUGCAUUUUCAGACAUGAUUCAAAAGAGAUACUUUGCUCCUCUCAGUGUUAUGUACUGUAUAGUGAAUGAGGAUGGAGCUUCUAUCUACAGUGUAUCCAAAGAAGCUGAACAAGAAAUGCCAAAAUUAGAUCCAAAUGAAAGAAGUGCAGUGUCUAUAGCGAGGAGAUUACAAGACCCUUUGGUGGAGCUAGUAAAAAUUGAGCCGAAGCACAUUGGAGUUGGAAUGUACCAGCAUGAUGUAGCCGAUUCUCAGUUGAAAUCUAGUUUGGAUGGGGUCCUAGAAGAAUGUGUCAGUUUCGUGGGCAUUGAUCUCAAUAUUUGCACAGAAUCUCUACUAAAACGUGUGUCUGGCAUGAGUGCCCUCAAAGCUAAAAAAGUAAUAGAAUACAGAGAAAAGAAUGGGCCAUAUGUUAAUAGACAGCAGCUACUUGGUGUUAAGGGACUAGGGCCAAAGUCAUUUGAGCAGUGUGCUGGUUUUGUGAGGAUUACACCAAAUGUGAUUGGUGCCACAAAUACAAACCAUGUACAAGAGCCUAAGGAUGAAGUUGUUAGUAACAUUGCCAAAGGAACAAAAAGAAAAGCAGUUUCAAAGACAAGCACCAGUAAGAGACAGAAGAUGGAUGAGAAUCUUUCACCUAAUUGGCUUGAUAUGACAUGGAUCCAUCCAGAGUCUUAUGAUGUAACAAAUAGGCUUUUGAAGAAAAUUGGUAUAACAGCUAAUGAAAUUGGUCACCCUUCCAUGCAAAGAGCAGUGGACAAUUUUAUAUCUACCUCCAGCAAGUCUGGACAGUGUUGCAAAAGAUUUAAAUAUAGGAGCUCCUACCCUUGAUUUAAUAUUAAAUGGAUUAAAACAGCCCCUGGGACAGGAUAUCAGAGAUGAUUAUGAAAAGCCUCUUUUUAAGAAGGGUUUGACAUCAAUCAAUGAUUUGAAAAGUGGGACUUUUCUCACAGGCUGUGUUCAGAACACUACCC